UACGUAGGGUGCGAGCGUUGUCCGGAAUUAUUGGGCGUAAAGGGCUCGUAGGCGGUCUGUCGCGUCGGGAGUGAAAACUCAGGGCUUAACCCUGAGCCUGCUUCCGAUACGGGCAGACUAGAGGUAUGCAGGGGAGAACGGAAUUCCUGGUGUAGCGGUGGAAUGCGCAGAUAUCAGGAGGAACACCGGUGGCGAAGGCGGGUCUCUGGGCCGAUACUGACGCUCAUGCACGAAAGCGUGGGGAGCAAACAGG
Molecule: ribosomal RNA, 253 nt
Filed under: uncultured bacterium
Lineage: Bacteria
Description: partial 16S ribosomal RNA
Rfam family: Bacterial small subunit ribosomal RNA
Source: RNAcentral